ACCGUAAUCUCUUUUGCAUGCUUCGGUUCCAAAUUCACACCCGGAGGAGAGAGCCGGCUGUCAGGAGCAAGGGCGCGCUGUCCCCGCUUGGCGGCCCAGCCGGGCAGCCCUGCCAUCCAAGGCUUUCUCCUGCUUCACACUUUGUCAAAAUGCAUCACAAGCCACACAAAGAAAUGGCCACUGGAAACUCCCCGAUUUCCAAUCCUCUUACUUUCCAAUUGUUCUUCCUUUUCAAGGCUUGGCCAUCCUCAGAAGGGGCCCCGUGCGGGCCGUCCUGGCUGCUUUCAUUUUCAAGCAGGAAGCUCCACACCAGAGAGGCGGGGCCGCUGUCCUCACCGGCCCGGGCUCUGGGAUCCACGGUGGCUCUGGGAUCUACGCCCAGCCUGGGCGGACUCUGAGCUGCCGUUUUGCUGUUACGCGGGUGGCCAGUCCGAUCCCGCCCCGUCAAGCUGGAUCCGACCGAGGAGAGCAUGCCCCAGAGCCCUCUGCGUGCUUCCACUGCUCGGCCCCCGGCGGGCACGGGAGGGGCACGUCCUCCAGCCACCCUGGCCCUCACACCCUCCUCAGCAAAGGGCCUUCGCACACACUGGCCCCGUCCCUGAACGCCCUCUGCCUAGAUCUCUCCGUGGCCACCUCCCGCUUGUCCGACUGGGGGCGAGCCCAGCCAUGUCAGCCCCCAAAGAACACAAGCGGUCCCGCCGGCACCGCUCAUCCCCCGAGGGCCCCCGGCACUGGCGCCCACGCUGCCCGGCUGCAGGUGCUGGUGCAGCCCUGGGCCACACACACAACCUGGCCCGCAGCCUGGGGAGGGCUCAGUGCCCAUGCAGUCCCUUGUUUGGCAUCACACCUUUGCCAGCCCUGCCCAUGCAGUCCCUUGUUUGGCAUCACACCUUUGCCAGCUCCUUCCCUUCCCCACCCACCUCCCCGUUCCUUGCUGCUUCUCAGACUGUCUGGGGGAGAGCCUGCACCCCAUCGUCUCCCCCGGCGGCCUUGUCUAGUUGCUCCUCAGCUCUCCUCUCCCAGCGUUUCUUCUGUGUAUCCAACUGCUGGCUCAUUUGUAUCAACGUUUCUUCUGUGUAUGGAACUGCUGGUUCAUUUGUAUCGACUGGCUCCUCUACCCAGAAAGCAGAGGCUCCACAAAGGGAGACAGUCCUGUGUGUGUCCCCACCGGGCGGAGCUGGCACUCCCAAACCUGUGUCCCCACUGACCAACACGCAAUGA
This 1221-nucleotide long non-coding RNA is filed under the name Sus scrofa (pig). RNAcentral's name for it is "lncRNA (ENSSSCG00070002933.1)". Lineage: Eukaryota; Metazoa; Chordata; Mammalia; Artiodactyla; Suidae. The record is from RNAcentral.